Long non-coding RNA from Pollicipes pollicipes, 1511 nucleotides. RefSeq lists it as uncharacterized. Lineage: Eukaryota; Metazoa; Arthropoda; Thecostraca; Pollicipedomorpha; Pollicipedidae. The transcript is spliced from 5 exons. The record is from RefSeq and is a predicted model, not a curated record.
GCAGUAACGUGAUCACGCAGUAAUGUUGUGAUCAAGCGUAGCAAUGGCGCUGGGGUCGCGAUUGCUGCGCGUUUGCGCUCGGAUGUUUGCAAUGGUAGUUAUUUAAGUUCCAAGCUCAGAAUACUCGAGCUGAUGAAGUGUACGACAUAUUGAUAGCAGCUGACUUGGUCAUCCGUUGGAAGAGCGUGCAUUCUUUGCUAACUCAAGCAGUUCUCUGCAAGAUUAUCGCCUUGCAGCUCUGAACGAGGUCCGAGAAGAAACGAGACCGGCGAACGAGCAAGUCGCCUGCAAGACAAUCAUUGCAGUUCAAUGGAAAAGAAUAUGUUAUUUCAUCAUCAAGAGUCCUCGGAUGGUUUUCCACUGACACCAAUUCCGGUGUGCCAGGUGCGAGAGGCUUCAAUCCAUGGUGUGUGGAGUCGUCCUUGAGCCCCUGCCUCGGCGCCGGGUCUUCAUGAAGGCCAUUAUGUACCUGGCCGUGAUGCAUCGGCGCACUAUGCAGAGCGGAUGGCGCUAGGGCGUACCAUCGUCAUCGCCGAGCCGGUCGUCUUCAUCAUCUCCGUACCACCGUCAUCUUCGAGCCGGUCGUCUUCGUCAUCUCCGUACCACCGUCAUCUCCGAGCCGGUCGUCUUCGUCAUCUCCGUACCACCGUCAUCUCCGAGCCGGUCGUCUUCGCCAUCUCCGCAACACCGUCAUCUCCGAGCCGGUCGUCUUCGCCAUCUCCGCACCACCGUCAUCUCCGAGCCGGUCAUCUCCGUCAUCUCCGUACCACCGUCAUCUCCGAGCCGGUCGUAUUCGUCAUCUCCGUACCACCGUCAUCUCCGAGCCGGUCGUCUUCGUCAUCUCCGUACCACCGUCAUCUCCGAGCCGGUCGUAUUCGUCAUCUCCGUACCGCCGUCAUCUCCGAGCCGGUCGUCUUCGUCAUCUCCAUUCCACCGUCAUCUCCGAGCCGGCCGUCUUCGUCAUCUCCGUACCACCGUCAUCUCCGAGCCGAUCGUCUCCGUCAUCUCCGUACCCCCGUCAUCUCCGAGCCCUACCGUCUGCGCCGGGCCGACAUGUACGCUCCCCCCGGCCCUGCUAGAUUUUGACCUGUAUCACUCGCCUGGUAUGUUCGUGUUGUGUGUUUGAUGACUAUGGUUUGCGUUGUAUUGACUUGUGUGACUCACACCUAAGUUUACCACGUUUUAUGUUUCCCACGGAAUAUCGCAAUAGUCGCAAGUCAAUUGUGGGGGCCUCAAUAAAAGUAUGCCCGUGUCACGUGGCAUUCUCAGUGCGAAUAUCGAAAUACCUAGAAUUUAAUGAGUUACUCAAACUGAGCGGUCGUUAUGCUUUCAAACAAAUUCGAGGCCGCCCACAAUCCCGUUCGAGGGCAAUCGAUUCUUAACAACAUCAUGUAACGGUCUUGUAUUUACAUACACCUCUGCAUUGUGUACAAGAUCACUGUUCAGCAUCCACUCACGGGGAGGUGUGCUUCACGAAGGCAAGGUAUCGAAGCUCACAACGUGCCGACACA